RNAcentral lists this ribosomal RNA (253 nucleotides) under uncultured bacterium. RNAcentral's name for it is "partial 16S ribosomal RNA". It matches the Rfam family "Bacterial small subunit ribosomal RNA", at positions 524 to 776 of the family's 1533-position model. The record is from RNAcentral.
UACGGAGGGCGCGAGCGUUAAUCGGAAUUACUGGGCGUAAAGCGCGCGUAGGCUGUUGUGUAAGUUGGGUGUGAAAUCCCACGGCUCAACCGUGGAACAGCCCUUGAUACUGCGCGACUUGAAUCCGGGAGAGGGUGGCGGAAUUCCAGGUGUAGGAGUGAAAUCCGUAGAUAUCUGGAGGAACAUCAGUGGCGAAGGCGGCCACCUGGACCGGUAUUGACGCUGAGGCGCGAAAGCGUGGGGAGCAAACAGG